AGAGNUGAUCCUGGCUCAGGAUGAACGCUGGCGGUAUGCUUUNACACAUGCAAGUCNGAACGCAAGUUUUUAACUUGAGUGGCGGACGGGUGAGUAACACGUGAGAAUUCACCUUUAGGUGGGGAAUAACUUUUGGAAACGAUAGCUAAUGCCCCAUAGACUCGAAAGAGAAAAAAGAGCAAUCUGCCUAAAGAGAAGCUCGCGGCUGAUUAGCUAGUUGGUAAGGUAAUGGCUUACCAAGGCGACGAUCAGUAGCUGGUUUGAGAGAACGAUCAGCCACACUGGAACUGAGACACGGAUCCAGACUCCUNNACGGGAGGCAGCAGUGGGGAAUUUUCCGCAAUGGGCGAAAGCCUGACGGAGCAAUACCGCGUGAGGGAUGACGGCCUUUGGGUUGUAAACCUCUUUUAUCAAGGAGGAAGUUCUGACGUGUACUUGAUGAAUAAGCAUCGGCUAACUCCGUGCCAGCAGCCGCGGUAAGACGGAGGAUGCAAGUGUUAUCCGGAAUCACUGGGCGUAAAGCGUCUGUAGGUUGUUUAAAAAGUCUGCAGUUAAAGGUUGAAGCUUAACUUCAAAAAUGCCGUAGAAACUUUUAAACUAGAGGAUGGUAGGGGUAGAGGGAAUUUCCAGUGGAGCGGUGAAAAUGUGUAGAUAUUGGAAAGACCACCGAUGGCGAAGGCACUCUACUGGCCAUGACUGACACUGAGAGACGAAAGCUAGGGGAGCAAAUGGAUUAGAUACCCCAGUAGUCCUAGCCGUAAACGAUGGAUACUAGAUGUUGUGUGUAUUGACCCAUGCAGUAUCGUAGCUAACGCGUUAAGUAUCCCGCCUGGGAAGUAUGCUCGCAAGAGUGAAACUCAAAGGAAUUGACGG
RNAcentral lists this ribosomal RNA (873 nucleotides) under uncultured bacterium. RNAcentral describes it as "bacterial SSU rRNA". It matches the Rfam family "Bacterial small subunit ribosomal RNA", at positions 8 to 916 of the family's 1533-position model. The record is from RNAcentral.